This 119-nucleotide ribosomal RNA is filed under the name Pelobates cultripes (western spadefoot toad). Lineage: Eukaryota; Metazoa; Chordata; Amphibia; Anura; Pelobatidae. The record is from RNAcentral.
GCCUACGGCCAUACCAGUCUGAAAGUGCCUAAUCUUGUCAGAUCUCAGAAGUCAUGCAGACUUCGGCAUGUUUAGUACUUGUAUGGUAGACCAACUAGGAACCUCAGGUGCCGUAAGCU